GAGCGCGAGAUAGUCUGAUAAACCCACGUACUGUUAUCAUGUCAAGCAGUUAAACGAUAUAACUUGUAUCUCCGUCAAAAAUAUCAAAGUCGAGAUUUGCCCGGCUUUGGCGGUCAGACACGUACACUACGUGUGUAUUUAUUGAUAGACUUGGUAUUUUGUAUCAUUUAACCAUGCAAGUCUUCACUUCUAUAUAUAACGUCAGGGGUGACAUAAGCUGCGGAGGCUGAUUCGGACAAGAAAGGCCGGGAUUACCUCCCUUGGCUUGCCUUCAGGAGGUAAACAACCAUUCAGCAUGUAAACGCAUGAUCAGACCAGACGAAAAGUAACAGUGAGAACCACUUGCAGCGAUGUUCACUUCCACAAAUGAGACAAGUAUUUACAGCUUUCACCGGAUUCCGAUGGAAAAACUUUUAUCUUAAAUGAAAAAAUAAACAUUAAAAAAAAUAUAUGAUGUCGCGGACCAAGACAAAGAAAGCGUAAAAUGCGUUUCAAGAGUGCCUUAUUUGAUGAGCAUAGAUAACUACUACCUACAAAAUUGAUUAUUUCUUUUUCUGUUCCAUUUCGAUUUAAAUUGACCUUAAGAACAACCACAAUUGUUAUAUAAUAUAUUUCAUAAUUCACACAUAUAUAUAACACCAUUUAAUAUAUUGAUGUGUUAAAUCGUAAAAACAAUGUAAGUAUACCAUAUAUAUUUAUAUAUGAACGGUCUUUCAUUUACAUUGUAAACAAUUAUGCCUAUUGUUCAUUUUAUCAUUAAAUGUAUGAAAUCAAA
Pecten maximus is the source of this 775-nucleotide long non-coding RNA. RefSeq lists it as uncharacterized. Lineage: Eukaryota; Metazoa; Mollusca; Bivalvia; Pectinida; Pectinidae. The transcript is spliced from 2 exons. The record is from RefSeq and is a predicted model, not a curated record.